UUCCGGUUGAUCCCGCCAGAGGCCAUUGCUAUCGGAGUCCGAUUUAGCCAUGCUAGUUGCACGGGUUUAGACCCGUGGCGAAAAGCUCAGUAACACGUGGCCAAACUACCCCGUGGAUCGGUAUAACCUCGGGAAACUGAGGCUAAUACCGAAUACUGCUCCAUCACUGGAAUGUGUGGAGCUCGAAACGCAUCCGCGCCACAGGAUGUGGCUGCGGCCGAUUAGGUUGACGGUGGGGUAACGGCCCACCGUGCCCAUAAUCGGUACGGGUUGUGAGAGCAAGAGCCCGGAGACGGAAUCUGAGACAAGAUUCCGGGCCCUACGGGGCGCAGCAGGCGCGAAACCUUUACACUGCACGACAGUGCGAUAAGGGGACUCCGAGUGCGAGGGCAUAGAGCCCUCGCUUUUCUGCACCGUAAGGAGGUGCAGGAAUAAGGGCUGGGCAAGACCGGUGCCAGCCGCCGCGGUAAUACCGGCAGCCCAAGUGAUGGCCGAUAUUAUUGGGCCUAAAGCGUCCGUAGCCGGCCGGACAAGUCCGUUGGGAAAUCCGCACGCUCAACGUGCGGGCGUCCAGCGGAAACUGUCCGGCUUGGGACCGGAAGACCCGAGGGGUACGUCCGGGGUAGGAGUGAAAUCCUGUAAUCCCGGACGGACCGCCUGUGGCGAAAGCGCCUCGGGAAGACGGAUCCGACGGUGAGGGACGAAAGCCAGGGUCUCGAACCGGAUUAGAUACCCGGGUAGUCCUGGCCGUAAACGAUGCCCGCUAGGUGUGACGCAGGCUACGAGCCUGCGUUGUGCCGUAGGGAAGCCGUGAAGCGGGCCGCCUGGGAAGUACGUCCGCAAGGAUGAAACUUAAAGGAAUUGGCGGGGGAGCACUACAACCGGAGGAGCCUGCGGUUUAAUUGGACUCAACGCCGGA
Molecule: ribosomal RNA, 919 nt
Filed under: uncultured archaeon
Lineage: Archaea
Description: bacterial SSU rRNA
Rfam family: Archaeal small subunit ribosomal RNA
Source: RNAcentral